UCCACCUGACCAGCCAGUGUUAACCAACCAUCCAGUAGCCCCAUGCUUCUGCAUUUUUUCAGCCAGCAUGGCAGCAUACUUUGUAGGGUUUAGCAUUAUAAAUGCGGCACCAAAACAAGCUGAGAAUGUUGCCCGUGGCUCCUUCACACCUUCCUCUGUUCCAGCAACCUGUUUUCCAUCAAGAGGUUGACAUAUUUUAAAUCAACUUUUUUCCGUUUUCCAUAUUUUCUAUCAAAAAAUGUACAUUUUUUCUUUAAAAAAAAAAAUCAAUGACUGUGACGGACAGGUCUCUCUAAAUUACCAGAGCAGUGUAGCCACUGAUGAAGUGGUACAUGGUCUGUUCCAAGCUCAACUUGCUCACAGGUGGGAGUACACCAAAUGCAUCACAAGCCAAAAGGAUUAUAUUCUUUGGAUGAGGGCCAACACAAGGUAUCUUUGCAUUUGGGAUAUACUCUAUGGGAUAUGCGGCACGAGUGUUCUCUGCAGCAGUAAAAUCCCAGUAAGCAUGAUGAUAAGAUUCCAAAUAAUAUGUGAAGUUCAAAACCUUUAUUAACACUGAGAAACAGAGAAUUAAAAGAACAAAAAUAAUUCACGUGAUAUUUAAACAUUCAGAUGAAUGGAUGGAUCUUUCUGCAUAGUUAAACAGGAAGAUGCAUCUUUACCCGUGACAGAUUUGUCCAAGUAGUCCACUUCUCGUGUAUGCUCAUCAAACACAAUGUUUUCUAGCACUGCCACAAACAAACAGCCAAACAAACUCCAAUGAACGUUUAUUCAAGAGUGGAGUCAUUUGUUAAGAAUUUUGUCAUAUCCAAUUGAAAGAAAUAUGGUUAAGAGUCUGUUACCAGUCCCGAAUUUGAUGGCAUUCCAGAUAUCAGGCUCCUUCUCCCUUGAAAGAUCAAUGCAUUUGGCAUAGCACCCGCCUUCAAUGUUUGAUACUCCAUUAUCACUCCAGCAGUGCUCAUCAUCUCCAAUUAAGUACCGGUUAUGAUCAGUAGACAGAGUUGUCUUCCCAGUACCUGAACAAAACCAAAAUAUGAAUAAUAAGAAAUCUCAUCAAUAACAAAACGAAGGGCCAGCUGGGGAAAAUCACAGUCACAUUGUCACAAAUCAGAGGGAAAGUGAUCAAAUGAAAAUGCACCCGAUAGUCCGAAGAAAAGGGCAACAUCCCCAUCUUUUCCCAUAUUGCAGCCAGAGUGGAGGGAGAGGAUUUGACGUUUAGGCAUUAGGUAAUGCAUUAAGCUGAAUAGACCUUUCUUCAUUUCUCCGGCAUACUGGGUGCCAAGAAUGACCAUUUCUUUCCUAGCAAGAUUUAUGUCAAUGCUAGUAGAGGAAGUCAUAUAGUGGGUGUAACGGUUGCAAGGAAACUGCCCAGCAUUGUAUAUUGUGAAGUCCGGAGUACCAAAAUCUUCUAAUUCUUCUGACGUGGGUCGGAUGCACCUGUCACCAGACACCACCCAAAGAAUGCAAAAAAUACAUGUCAAGGGAAAUAAAAAAACUUCCCCCCUUUCUUUCGUGAUCUCUCAAUAGACAGAAAUGAAAUUCGGGUAAUGUUGCAUACAUGUUGUGCAUGAACAAGGAAUGGUAAGCUCUGGCAGAAACAAUUCGGACUUUGAUCCGGUGUUCUGGGUCCCAAUUGAGAAAUUGGUCGUUCACAAAGACCUGAAAUACAGUUUUAGAUAAUUAGAUAUUUCGGCAAUUUCAUGUUCGUGUUAUACUCGUUGAAGAUAAUGUAGCCACUUUUUUACCAGAGCAGUGUAGCCACUGAUGAAGUGGUACAUGGUCUGUUCCAAGCUCAACUUGCUCACAGGUGGGAGUACACCAAAUGCAUCACAAGCCAAAAGGAUUAUAUUCUUUGGAUGAGGGCCAACACAAGGUAUCUUUGCAUUUGGGAUAUACUCUAUGGGAUAUGCGGCACGAGUGUUCUCUGCAGCAGUAAAAUCCCAGUAAGCAUGAUGAUAAGAUUCCAAAUAAUAUGUGAAGUUCAAAACCUUUAUUAACACUGAGAAACAGAGAAUUAAAAGAACAAAAAUAAUUCACGUGAUAUUUAAACAUUCAGAUGAAUGGAUGGAUCUUUCUGCAUAGUUAAACAGGAAGAUGCAUCUUUACCCG
This 2109-nucleotide long non-coding RNA is filed under the name Citrus sinensis (sweet orange). RNAcentral describes it as "long non-coding RNA (CSIN_LNC001419)". The record is from RNAcentral. Lineage: Eukaryota; Viridiplantae; Streptophyta; Magnoliopsida; Sapindales; Rutaceae.